GAAAAAUAUAGUGUACAAGGAAUCAUUUCAGUAACAUUGGUGUGCCAACGAGGACCUUUAUAAAUCGGAAAAGAUAAGUCAAUUGAAAGUGAAGUACACGACUUAAUACAACAACGCAAUCCACUCCACCUAUUUUGUGUUCAGGAGCUGCGAUCAAUAAAGUAACGCUAAACGAAUACUUUUAUUUAAAGAUCACUUAUCAUCACCAGCUAAGAAAAGAAGUUAUACCAGGUGUAAGAAAACUACAAAAGACUCACGUGCCAAUGACAUCAUGUCGAUACGAAUUGGGGAAGUGAACAACGUAUAUUACGCCAUCUCCAAUUCAUAACAUGGAGUACCGAAUCCUUCACAAACACUUGUCGUUGUAUGCAUGCUUUCCGCGAUCGUAUUGGUACCGAUCAUUUUGUUGAUAUAUUCGUCUAUGCUAUGCGUAAAGAUGAGGAAGGUAUUGCGGAGUCAGGAAUGUAAUCACAAAGCACAGAAACGAAUAAAU
Molecule: long non-coding RNA, 493 nt
Organism: Teleopsis dalmanni
Lineage: Eukaryota; Metazoa; Arthropoda; Insecta; Diptera; Diopsidae
Exons: 5
Source: RefSeq, a predicted model, not a curated record